This 326-nucleotide ribosomal RNA is filed under the name uncultured Chlorobiota bacterium. Its description in RNAcentral is "bacterial SSU rRNA". It matches the Rfam family "Bacterial small subunit ribosomal RNA", at positions 28 to 351 of the family's 1533-position model. The record is from RNAcentral. Lineage: Bacteria; Pseudomonadati; Chlorobiota.
GACGAACGCUGGCGGCGUGCCUAAUACAUGCAAGUCAACUGAAGCAGCGGUAGCAAUAUUGCUGCGGAGGUGGCGCACGGGUGAGUAACACGUAGGUAAUCUGCCUUCAGGACUGACACAACUCCGAGAAAUCGGAGCUAAUAUCAGAUAAUGCAGCGGCUUGACAUCAAGACAGUUGUUAAAGCUUCGGUGCCUGGAGAUGAGCCUGCGCCCCAUUAGGUAGUUGGCGGAGUAAAAGCCCACCAAGCCUGCGAUGGGUAGCUGGUCUGAGAGGAUGAUCAGCCACACUGGAACUGAGACACGGUCCAGACUCCUACGGGUGGCUG